Rosa chinensis is the source of this 797-nucleotide long non-coding RNA. RefSeq lists it as uncharacterized. Lineage: Eukaryota; Viridiplantae; Streptophyta; Magnoliopsida; Rosales; Rosaceae. The record is from RefSeq and is a predicted model, not a curated record. The transcript has 3 exons.
UUCGGUUAUAGUCCUUUGGCAAUUGAAGUUAUAUUAAGACAAACUUUACAAGUAGAGUGGCAGAGGGAAAUGGGAACUUAAACAUAGUUCCCCCCGGAACUGGACAUGAAAUGAUCUUUCCAAACUCAGGAGUUUCACAUCUGACAAGCCAUUACUUCUGAUCAGAAUAACAGCUUCAUCCUUGAGCUAUCGGUUGGAUAUAAGAACAUCUUUUGCCAUGGUACAUUUCGGUAGAGAAGGCACAUCUUGCAAUUUGACCCCUCUACGGACAGAAGUUGGACUGCUUAAUACACUGCCUUAAAGAGAAUGCGCUGAUACAGUAUGAGAGCAUUUACACAGGACAACCAUCUGGAAGAAGCAGAUAUCUGUGUUAGAGUUGAUAGAGGAACGUACAUCAGUACAUGCAGAGUCCCGAUAUUCUGAGGUGAAAAUUGUACAUUGUUCCACAGCAUACACUUUUGAAGUUAAAUAUGAGGAAAUUUUAAGUAUCAUCUUACAGAAAGAUUAGUGAUGGAUGGAGUUCAGAAGAAGUAUUGCUAUUACAGUAAAACUGAGUGCUUUUAGCUGGAUUUGAGUUCAAUUUUCAUUAGCAAAUGUUCCUCUUGUUGUAUCCAAACUAUCUUGUCUAUAAAAGAGAAAGACUUCAUGAGAUCAGUGCAUCAAUCUUUGAAUCAUUCAACCAUAUACACUUUCAAAACAAAUUGAGUUUGAGUGCAAUCUUCAUGUGUAUAUAUUCAUCUGCCACAGGGAAUUAGCUUCAUCUGUGACCGUAAAUUCUAAAUUUCUACUCCUGUUUC